Molecule: ribosomal RNA, 460 nt
Filed under: uncultured bacterium
Lineage: Bacteria
Description: partial 16S ribosomal RNA
Rfam family: Bacterial small subunit ribosomal RNA
Source: RNAcentral
CCUACGGGAGACAGCAGUGAGGAAUAUUGGUCAAUGGGCUUACGCCUGAACCAGCCAAGUCGCGUGAGGGAAGACUGCCCUAUGGGUUGUAAACCUCUUUUGUCAGGGAGCAACGCCGGCUACGUGUAGCCGGACUGAGAGUACCUGAAGAAAAAGCAUCGGCUAACUCCGUGCCAGCAGCCGCGGUAAUACGGAGGAUGCGAGCGUUAUCCGGAUUUAUUGGGUUUAAAGGGUGCGUAGGCGGAAUGCCAAGUCAGCGGUAAAAUCGCGGGGCUCAACCUCGCUCCGCCGUUGAAACUGGGGUUCUUGAGUGGGCGAGAAGUAUGCGGAAUGCGUGGUGUAGCGGUGAAAUGCAUAGAUAUCACGCAGAACUCCGAUUGCGAAGGCAGCAUACCGGCGCCCAACUGACGCUGAAGCACGAAAGCGUGGGUAUCGAACAGGAUUAGAUACCCUAGUAGUC